CUACCAAUUUUGUAAGGGUUCAAGACAAGUACACAGACAUUUCAAUAAAGUAUGAUAAAGUUAAGGAGAGUGAUAAAGCAGCCAGGCGAACUCCAUGAAGGGCACCUCACCCGCUGGGGCGGAGGGAGUUCUAGGAGUGGCUCCGGGAAGGAGUGUGCUGGGAAGGAGAAGUCGGGAAAACAGACCAAAGCCGGGCUUGGGGGUGCUAGAGACACUCUGGGGCCCUCCAUCCACCUUAAGGAAGGAGGACCCAAGGAUGGGGAAGUCAGAUCGUAGUUUUCCAGUCAAGUGAGAAAGCAGCCAGUAGAAAGGGAAGCUGGAAAUGGUGAGAUUUGGUUUAAGCCGGAAGAGCGGGUUGCGCCAGGGACCAGAAACUAAAGUGGAGAGCUCUGGAGGGCACGGCUGGAGAGGAAGGACAAGGACGUGAGAAUGACGGUGGGUGUGACUUAUUGGGAUGGAGGCAGGGAAAUUGGAGGGGGCGGGGGGAGGGGUGAGCGCAUGCGUUGUGUUCACACGGGCGUGUGCCUGUGCGCCAGCGCGCAAGCGCGCGCAUAUUAAAACUCCAGCUGAUAAAAUUGACAAAGGCGAGAGAGCCUCUCGUCCCUCGCGGCCACCGAGCUGGCGCAGCCAAUGAUGCCCGAGGCGAGGGGGAGGGACCAGUGGAGCGCCGGGCAGAGCCAGACCCAAGCAAAAACAAAGCCGUCUCUCUGAAACAAAACCGAAACAGACGUGGCCGGGGAAAGGAAAAUAAAUCCUUGGCCAAAAGAGAUUUGACGACAAGAAAAGAAGACCGUCUCCAGACUGUCCCCGCUGGCACUAGCGGGACCCGGCCAGAAGUGCCUCGUGAGUGACAUUGAGGUCGGUGGCUCAGUACUGUCAGCCUCCAAACACCAUGGUGCAGAGAACGAGGUCCUCCGCAGUGGAACAGGCGCAGCGCCAAGGAAACCUUUUUCUCUCUAGUCCUUACUGCCAACCAGGGAAAUAACGCCUCGGCAUUUCUGCCUCGUAAUACUGCUUCCUGUACUCCACCCCAGAUUCGCUGCACCGCAGCCUCUCAGCCCCACCCCCACCGCCCACUGUGAGUCACCCCCUCUCUCCCUUCUCUAAACCAGAGUAUCGCAGAGCAAGGCCCUAUUGUGGUUACCCAUAAAUGCAAAGGCGCGGAGACACCAGUACCUCUAUAAGGAGCUGGCAUUUUAAUUAGCACACUCCAGCAGCCAUAAACCCCGACUGGUGUCCCACCUCUCCUCCCCCUCCCAGUGCCCUCCUCCAACCUCCCCACUCACCCCCAUCUAUGUAAAAAAAAAAAAAAAAAAAAAAGCCAUAAAGCCUUUCUCCAAUCGCCUUCUUGGAGUUUAUGCAACCCCCAGAACACAGGUUGAUUGGAAAGGUCUCUCUCCUGGAUAACAACAAUUCAAUGUGCCUUGACAUUUUAAUAGC
Long non-coding RNA from Bubalus bubalis (water buffalo), 1440 nucleotides. RefSeq lists it as uncharacterized. NCBI's taxonomy places the organism in Eukaryota, Metazoa, Chordata, Mammalia, Artiodactyla, Bovidae. The record is from RefSeq and is a predicted model, not a curated record. The transcript has 2 exons.